Molecule: ribosomal RNA, 330 nt
Filed under: uncultured bacterium
Lineage: Bacteria
Description: bacterial SSU rRNA
Rfam family: Bacterial small subunit ribosomal RNA
Source: RNAcentral
CACGCAGGCGGUCCGUUAAAUAAGGAGUGAAAGCCCUGGGCUCAACCCGGGAAUUGCUCUUUAGACUGGCGGACUUGAAUCCGGAAGAGGGCAGUGGAAUUCCAAGUGUAGAGGUGAAAUUCGUAGAUAUUUGGAAGAACACCAGUGGCGAAGGCGACUGCCUGGUCCGGCAUUGACGCUCAUGUGCGAAAGCGUGGGGAGCAAACAGGAUUAGAUACCCUGGUAGUCCACGCUGUAAACGAUGAGUGCUAGUUGUUGGGGUGCAUGCACCUCAGUGACGCAGCUAACGCAUUAAGCACUCCGCCUGGGGAGUACGGCCGCAAGGUUAAA